Molecule: non-coding RNA, 847 nt
Organism: Pelobates cultripes (western spadefoot toad)
Lineage: Eukaryota; Metazoa; Chordata; Amphibia; Anura; Pelobatidae
Source: the annotation of a GenBank genome assembly
GUUAGAGGUCAGUGCACUGCAUCGUAACUUUCAGAAAUUCUGACCUAGAUUUGUGUUUAAAGUGUAACUGAUGGGAAUUAUGACUGUUUGGUUACGUUCACAGAUGAGCUUGGGGGAGCGGUCACUUCUCACCAUCUCCUCUGACUACGCCUAUGGAAGCAAAGGACAUCCUGGCAUUAUCCCUCCACACGCUACCCUUAAAUUCGAUGUAGAAUUAUUGUGUUUGGAGUGAGGGCAUUGUGCCCCCCAUCAUGGGUACGUAGGAGUCUUUUAAUAGUCUUUAUGAGCCAAGUCUACCUUCACGUUUUGAAUAUGUUCUGAUCUGGUAUGUCUUUAGGUGCGGAGAGGGGUCUGCUCACAAGGUCGCAUGGUCACUGAAUAUGGACACCAGGGCCAAGAAUGGACACAUCCUGACCUCCCUUUUUUCACUCUACUUCCCACUCAGACGUUUUGCUUGACAGUUUUUGACCCCUCCCUGCUUCUCAUCCUCCUGGCCAGCAGGGUAACUUUGGGCACUCUCACAGCGGAUGACUUGAGGCAGGAGGUGGUUGUGAUCAUACCAGUGAUGCCACCGGAUGUCUCGACUCUGUGCAGAAGGCAAACUCGCACUGUUCCUUAUUCACCUGGUGUGAGAAUUCUCCAUCUGUAUACAUGCCCUUGGCAGGGGUUGAGAUAGCACUACGAGGGUUUGACUCUUUUAUGGCUGUACACUGCAGAGAUUUGUUUAACCUGUAGGGUUUUAAGCCAAUUUGUCCUUCAGUGGUGCAGCUCCUCCCCUUCCUGCCUGCACAGCGUGAUCCCUUUCCACCUCCGCACUCUUAAAUAAACCGCUUUUCUCUACCUCUGA